This 250-nucleotide ribosomal RNA is filed under the name uncultured bacterium. Its description in RNAcentral is "partial 16S ribosomal RNA". It matches the Rfam family "Bacterial small subunit ribosomal RNA", at positions 524 to 773 of the family's 1533-position model. The record is from RNAcentral.
UACAGAGGUGGCAAGCGUUGCUCGGUGUCACUGGGCUUAAAGGGCGCGUAGGCGGCGUGGCGCGGUUCGUGUGAAAUCCCUCGGCCCAACCGAGGAAUUGCACGGGCGACGGCCAUGCUUGGCUGCAUCAGGGGAAGAUGGAACUCCCGGUGGAGCGGUGAAAUGCGUAGAUAUCGGGAGGAACGCCGGUGGCGAAAGCGAUCUUCUGGGGUGCAAGCGACGCUGAGGCGCGAAAGCUAGGGGAGCAAAC